This 216-nucleotide long non-coding RNA is filed under the name Salvia miltiorrhiza (redroot sage). Its description in RNAcentral is "long non-coding RNA (SMIL_LNC011365)". Lineage: Eukaryota; Viridiplantae; Streptophyta; Magnoliopsida; Lamiales; Lamiaceae. The record is from RNAcentral.
GCAUAUCAUAAGGGAACAUGUGUUCGUGUUGCCUCUGUAACUCCGUAGUCAUAGAGGACAACAUCACACAUUGUGCCGAUGUUGCAUCCUCGACAUGCUUCUUGUGAGCAGCUUCAUCAAAUGAUGCAUACUCAGCAGACUGCUUGUCAGGAAUGACAGUGAUUGGGUUGUCCAAGACAUACUCAAUCUUCUCUAGCCUUAAGACCAGACGCAAGC